UCUUUCUUUGGCCUUGGGAAG
This is a non-coding RNA of Caenorhabditis elegans, 21 nucleotides long. The record is from Ensembl. Lineage: Eukaryota; Metazoa; Nematoda; Chromadorea; Rhabditida; Rhabditidae.